CGCCUCUUGAAUAUCUAUAAGAGGUCCAGCCUGCCCAGUGACUCUGUUCAACGGCCGCGGUAUCCUAACCGUGCGAAGGUAGCGUAAUCACUUGUUCUUUAAAUGAGGACUCGUAUGAAUGGCACCACGAGGGUUAUACUGUCUCCUUUUUCUAAUCGGUGAAACUAAUCUCCCCGUGAAGAAGCGGGGAUAAAAAUAUAAGACGAGAAGACCCUAUGGAGCUUUAAACUUGAUAACAAAUACUACUCUUAAUUUAACUUUCAGAACAUAAACCUUUACUUUAGUAUUAUGAUUAUUAGUUUUAGGUUGGGGUGACCGCGGAGCAAAAAUUAACCUCCACAUUGAACGGAAUUCAUUCCUGAGCAAAAAGCCACGACUUUAAGCACCAACAAAUUGACAUCAAUUGACCCAAUAUUUUGAUCAACGAACCAAGUUACCCUAGGGAUAACAGCGCAAUCCACUUCAAGAGCUCCUAUCGACAAGUGGGUUUACGACCUCGAUGUUGGAUCAGGGUAUCCCAGUGGUGCAGCCGCUACUAAAGGUUCGUUUGUUCAACGAUUAAAACCCUA
RNAcentral lists this ribosomal RNA (569 nucleotides) under Trachycephalus typhonius. RNAcentral's name for it is "partial 16S ribosomal RNA". It matches the Rfam family "Bacterial large subunit ribosomal RNA", at positions 1832 to 2598 of the family's 2925-position model. The record is from RNAcentral. Lineage: Eukaryota; Metazoa; Chordata; Amphibia; Anura; Hylidae.